CGUCUCAGUUCAGAUUGCAGGCUGCAACUCGCCUGCAUGAAGUCGGAAUUGCUAGUAAUCGCAGAUCAGCAUGCUGUGGUGAAUACGUUCCCGGGCCUUGUACACACCGCCCGUCACACCAUGGGAGUCGGUAACACCCGAAGUCGGUAGCCUAACCGUAAGGAGGGCGCCGCCGAAGGUGGGAUUGAUGACUGGGGUGAAGUCGUAACAAGGUAAC
Molecule: ribosomal RNA, 217 nt
Filed under: uncultured bacterium
Lineage: Bacteria
Description: partial 16S ribosomal RNA
Rfam family: Bacterial small subunit ribosomal RNA
Source: RNAcentral